GACGAACGCUGGCGGCGUGCUUAACACAUGCAAGUCGAACGGAAAGGCCCUGCUUUUGUGGGGUGCUCGAUUGGCGAACGGGUGAGUAACACGUGAGUAACCUGCCCUUGACUUUGGGAUAACUUCAGGAGACUGGGGCUAAUACCGGAUAGGAUCUCCUGCUGCAUGGUGGUGGUUGGAAAGUUUCGGCGGUUGGGGCUGGACUCGCGGCUUAUCAGCUGGUUGGUGGGGUAGUGGCUUACCAAGGCUUUGACGGGUAGCCGGCCUGAGAGGGUGACCGGCCACAUUGGGACUGAGAUACGGCCCAGACUCCUACGGGAGGCAGCAGUGGGGAAUAUUGCGCAAUGGGCGGAAGCGUGAUGCAGCAACGCCGCGUGCGGGAUGACGGCUUUCGGGUUGUAAACCGCUUUCGCCUGUGAUGAAGCGUGAGUGACGGUAAUGGGUAAGGAAGCACCGGCUAACUACGUG
This 468-nucleotide ribosomal RNA is filed under the name uncultured bacterium. RNAcentral describes it as "partial 16S ribosomal RNA". It matches the Rfam family "Bacterial small subunit ribosomal RNA", at positions 28 to 507 of the family's 1533-position model. The record is from RNAcentral.